AUUCAGCUGACGAGUCCCGAUCAGGACAAAACGCGCGUCCUGGAU
Molecule: non-coding RNA, 45 nt
Organism: Schistosoma curassoni
Lineage: Eukaryota; Metazoa; Platyhelminthes; Trematoda; Strigeidida; Schistosomatidae
Source: Rfam